UCCUUCUUUCUUCUUCUUCUCUGCUUUCCCUCUUUCUUUUCUCUGUUCUUUCUGCUGAAAUUUUGUGAGUCGCGUAAGGGUUUGUUGAUAAGAAAUUGAUUGAUGAAGAAGAAUCAUCAAAUAUGGAGGUGAUGAUGUUGUGUAUUGGGGAAGAGAACUGUUAGAGAUUGAAGAGUUAAAUCAGAAGAAAUCUAAGUUAGGGUUUGUAAAUUAAGUAUUGGGUUCGUAUGGAAUAGAUAAGUUAAUUAGGUUGUUGAUGGAUGAAGAAUAAAAGGGUUGAGGUUUGAUUGCAGUUUUGAAGUUGUUUUAGAGAUGAUCAAAGAAUUAGGGUUUCAUAAGAUGGACUCAAUAGAGGAUUGAGAGAUGAAAUUGAUGUUUUAGGAAGGGGAUUAGAGAUGGGUUUGGUUGAAUUGAGGAGUUAUAAUUAUGUAUUGAACUCGAAUCAGAAAACAAGGGAUUAAGAAUUACUUUUAGGGUUUCUAUGAGCAUAAGUAUUUGAGAUGGAGAUUAUGUGAUGAAGACUAAGGGUCGGUUCUGUUAAUAAGAAGGCGGUGUAGUUGUUGUUGGUAUUGGUUCAAGACUCGGGAGAAAAUGUUGAAUAAGAGUUUGCAUUCAAUUUCUUCAACAAGACUCAUUUGAGGAUAGUGAUGAAGAUUGUUGAGUAUUGGGUAAUUAGGUAUAUUAAGUGGAGUUGCUUGUGAAAGUUAGUUUCAGAUGAUGAAAUUGAUGGUGUUGGCUAAGUUCCAGAUUUGAAGAUGAUAAUCCUAGGGUUCUAGUUGAGAUGUUUUGGAGGAAAAGCAAUUCAGGGGAUGCUAAUUCUUGGGUAAGACUUUAAUUCUGUUAAAGUUUGGCAUUUUAGUUUAAAUUGUUUAGAUUAUUGAAUUUAUGUGAUUUUGAAUGAGACUGAAGUUGAGUUGAGUAUAAUAUGAAGCUGUGGUUGUUUGUAAGGAUUGUGUUAGAUCACAGGGAGGAAGAAAAGAUGGGGUUGUCAUUAUGUUAUUUUGGAUAUGAGAUGUUGAUAAUCCUAGGAUGUUUAGAUGUUAAAUGAAUUGAGUUUAAGGAAGGUGUUGUUGCUGUUGUUGUUGUAGUUUGAAUGAAUGAGUGAUUUCAAGAGAUGGCUAUGAACAACUGUGGUUAAUGGAUUGAGAAUGAUCUCAAUUGAAGUUGCAGAAUGAAUGAAUUACAGAUUCAAUGGACUGGAUUGUGUAUGUUAGAAAUGGAAUGGUGUUGUAGUGUAUGUCUGAUAAGAUAACAAUGAAAUAGAAAAUGAGUUAUAGUUGUGAGCUAAGAUUGUGUUUGAAUUACAAGAGAACUGAUGCAGGGAUUGAGUUUUGAGGAUUGGUAUUGGGAUGAAAUACAAGGAGGAAAGUUGAGAUUGUCUUUUAGUUGAAUGAGUUGAUAUAGUGAAAAUAAUUCAGAGUGAUGAUUGUAUGUUGUAGGUAGUGACAUCAUUGAAAGAUUGGAAAUGCUACCUAAAGUUAGUCUAUAUUAACAACGAUCGAAUCAAAGGAUGAACCAAUGGAUUGUGGAUCUUGAGGUAGGUGUGACUUGUCAUCAAAAGAGUUUCAGAGACAGACCAGAGUUGCGCAGCGAAAGCUCCGAGAAGUUGACUUCUUUAGUUGGUUGUAAUCUGAUAUGUUUAUCAUGUUGUAUAUUCUAUUUGUCAACCAAAUGACUAUUGUAUAUGUAUCAUUUGAGAGAAGAUCUUGUAUAUAUAUUUCUGAGCGGGGUUAGUUUUGGGUUAAGUUUAUAGCAGAUUCCUUAAUCAAAUGCUUAUGUAUAUGAUUCAGAUUCUUAGUGACUCUUUAUUU
Papaver somniferum (opium poppy) is the source of this 1811-nucleotide long non-coding RNA. RefSeq lists it as uncharacterized. The record is from RefSeq and is a predicted model, not a curated record. The transcript is spliced from 3 exons. NCBI's taxonomy places the organism in Eukaryota, Viridiplantae, Streptophyta, Magnoliopsida, Ranunculales, Papaveraceae.